Molecule: small nucleolar RNA, 108 nt
Organism: Humulus lupulus (European hop)
Lineage: Eukaryota; Viridiplantae; Streptophyta; Magnoliopsida; Rosales; Cannabaceae
Source: RefSeq, a predicted model, not a curated record
AUACCAUGAUGGGGGAAUUUUCUCAAUAACUCCUUAAAACUCUCUCAUGCAUCAUAAAAAGACUCUCCCUCCAUCUGAUAGAAAUUAUUAAUCUCUCCCCUCAACUAU